UGCAGUCGAGCGGACUAGCUGGAGCUUGCUCCUCCGAGUUAGCGGCGGACGGGUGAGUAACACGUGGGUAACCUGCCUGUAAGACUGGGAUAACUCCGGGAAACCGGGGCUAAUACCGGAUAGUAUCAUGAAACGCAUGGCUUCUUUUGGAAAGACGGUUUCGGCUGUCACUUACAGAUGGGCCCGCGGCGCAUUAGCUAGUUGGUGAGGUAAUGGCUCACCAAGGCAACGAUGCGUAGCCGACCUGAGAGGGUGAUCGGCCACACUGGGACUGAGACACGGCCCAGACUCCUACGGGAGGCAGCAGUAGGGAAUCUUCCGCAAUGGACGAAAGUCUGACCGAGCAACGCCGCGUGAGUGAUGAAGGUCUUCGGAUCGUAAAACUCUGUUGUUAGGGAAGAACAAGUGCGAGAGUAACUGCUCGCACCUUGACGGUACCUAACCAGAAAGCCACGGCUAACUACGUGCCAGCAGCCGCGGUAAUACGUAGGUGGCAAGCGUURUCCGGAAUUAUUGGGCGUAAAGCGCGCGCAGGCGGUYUCUUAAGUCUGAUGUGAAAGCCCCCGGCUCAACCGGGGAGGGUCAUUGGAAACUGGGAAACUUGAGUGCAGAAGAGGAGAGUGGAAUUCCACGUGUAGCGGUGAAAUGCGUAGAGAUGUGGAGGAACACCAGUGGCGAAGGCGACUCUCUGGUCUGUAACUGACGCUGAGGCGCGAAAGCGUGGGGAGCAAACAGGAUUAGAUACCCUGGUAGUCCACGCCGUAAACGAUGAGUGCUAAGUGUUAGAGGGUUUCGCCAGGUGCUACCAUCCUCGGUGGAGAGUGCGGUCGCAAGAGUGACUCUCAAGAGAAUUGACGGGGGCCCGCACACGCUGUAGAGCAUGUGGUAAUAUUAGAAGCAACGAGAAGCACUUUCACAUGUCUAGACAUCUUUUGCCAUUUAUAGAGAUAGAAGUUUCCCUUUGGGGGGACAAAGUCACAGGUGGCGCAUGGUUGUUGUCAGCUUGUGUUGUGAGAUGUUGGGUUAAGUCCCGCAAAGAGCGCACCCCUUCAUUUUAGUUCCCCGCUUUCAGUUGCGCUCUAUAAGGUGACCCCCGGUCACAAACGGGAGGAAGGUGGGGAAGAUGUAAUAUCAUCAUCCCCCUUAUCACGUGGGACACACACGUGACACAAUGGAUGGUACAAAGGGGUGAGAGACCGAGAGCAAUAGCCUAUCCCAUAAAACCAUUCACAGUUCGGAUUGCAGGGCGCAUCUCGCCUGCAAGAAGCUGGAAUCGCUUGUUAUCGCGGAUCAGCAUGCCGCGGUGAAUAUUUUCCCGGCCCUUGCCACACCGCCUGUCACACCACGAGAGUUUGCCACA
Molecule: ribosomal RNA, 1360 nt
Filed under: Bacillus sp. (in: firmicutes)
Lineage: Bacteria; Bacillati; Bacillota; Bacilli; Caryophanales; Bacillaceae
Description: bacterial SSU rRNA
Source: RNAcentral